GAUGAACGCUGGCGGCGUGCCUAAUACAUGCAAGUCGAGCGAACGGACGAGAAGCUUGCUUCUCUGAUGUUAGCGGCGGACGGGUGAGUAACACGUGGAUAACCUACCUAUAAGACUGGGAUAACUUCGGGAAACCGGAGCUAAUACCGGAUAAUAUUUUGAACCGCAUGGUUCAAAAGUGAAAGACGGUCUUGCUGUCACUUAUAGAUGGAUCCGCGCUGCAUUAGCUAGUUGGUAAGGUAACGGCUUACCAAGGCAACGAUGCAUAGCCGACCUGAGAGGGGGAUCGGCCACACUGGAACUUAGACACGGUCCAGACUCCUACGGGAGGCAGCAGUAGGGAAUCUUCCGCAAUGGGCGAAAGCCUGACGGAGCAACGCCGCGUGAGUGAUGAAGGUCUUCGGAUCGUAAAACUCUGUUAUUAGGGAAGAACAUAUGUGUAAGUAACUGUGCACAUCUUGACGGUACCUAAUCAGAAAGCCACGGCUAACUACGUG
This 497-nucleotide ribosomal RNA is filed under the name uncultured bacterium. RNAcentral's name for it is "partial 16S ribosomal RNA". It matches the Rfam family "Bacterial small subunit ribosomal RNA", at positions 28 to 507 of the family's 1533-position model. The record is from RNAcentral.